UCUUUUUAUUUUAGUAACAAACUACAUGUCUUAGAUAAAUUGAUUAAAAAUACAAUUGAUAAUGAAUUCAUCCGUGAGAUAAAGUAAUUGAGGUAUCAUUCAAAAAUAUAAUGUUGUAUUAGCCUUGAGACUAUUAAUCGUGUUUCCAACCAUGAAAAUUUCCAUUAAAGCCAGUUCCAGAAUACAUGAAAGGACAAGAGAGGCACUAGUUUAAAUCACCGGCCACCCAUUCAAUAAAAUUUUAUUUUACUUUUAAUUCAUUAUACAAUCUCAGGCCAUCCAUUCAAUAAAAUUUUAUUUUACUUUUAAUUCAUUAUACAAUCUCAGGCCACCCAUUCAAUAAAAUUUUAUUUUACUUUUAAUUCAUAAAACAUUGUUAAAAAAAGCAACUACUUACUAUUAAUUAAUUUGAUUGAUUUCUUACCCCUACUAUCAUACUAUGAUCAAUUUAGAAACUGCCCUAUUCCAAUUUAAACUAAAAUUAUGUAAAAGUUUAUAGUUUUUGUGUUUCAGACCACAAUAAAUGUGACUUUUGAUCAU
This 540-nucleotide long non-coding RNA is filed under the name Mytilus galloprovincialis (Mediterranean mussel). Lineage: Eukaryota; Metazoa; Mollusca; Bivalvia; Mytilida; Mytilidae. The record is from RNAcentral.